UACGGAGGGUGCGAGCGUUGUCCGGAAUCACUGGGCGUAAAGGGCGCGUAGGCGGCAUGCCAAGCGUGUGGUGAAAGCCCGGGGCUCAACCCCGGGUCGGCCGUGCGGACUGGCGUGCUUGAGCACUGUAGGGGCGGGUGGAAUUCCGGGUGUAGCGGUGGAAUGCGUAGAGAUCCGGAGGAACACCAGUGGCGAAGGCGGCCGCCUGGGCCUGUCCUGACGCUGAGGCGCGAAAGCGUGGGGAGCGAUCCGG
This 253-nucleotide ribosomal RNA is filed under the name uncultured bacterium. RNAcentral describes it as "partial 16S ribosomal RNA". It matches the Rfam family "Bacterial small subunit ribosomal RNA", at positions 524 to 776 of the family's 1533-position model. The record is from RNAcentral.